RNAcentral lists this ribosomal RNA (233 nucleotides) under uncultured Actinomycetales bacterium. Its description in RNAcentral is "partial 16S ribosomal RNA". It matches the Rfam family "Bacterial small subunit ribosomal RNA", at positions 97 to 334 of the family's 1533-position model. The record is from RNAcentral. Lineage: Bacteria; Bacillati; Actinomycetota; Actinomycetes; Actinomycetales.
GGCGAACGGGUGAGUAACACGUGGGUGAUCUGCCCUGCACUCUGGGAUAAGCCUGGGAAACUGGGUCUAAUACCGGAUAGGACCAUGCUUUAGUGUGUGUGGUGGAAAGUUUUUCGGUGUAGGAUGAGCCCGCGGCCUAUCAGCUUGUUGGUGGGGUAAUGGCCUACCAAGGCGGCGACGGGUAGCCGGACUGAGAGGUUGGUCGGCCACAUUGGGACUGAGACACGGCCCAG